UGUGGUGGGAUCAUUCAGUCGGGGUGUCGCGUCGCAGGCUGGGCAUGCAUUAUGGUACCCGUGAGGGGGCCGGCUCGGCUAGCGUUGCGUGGCAAACCGACGCAUUUGUUUCCCAUCCGAAGGACGCCGCAACCGGUUGGUGGACGGUCUUAAGGGCGAGAAACGGAAGGUGGCCGGAGGCGUGCAUUUGUGUGUCGCCGGUUGUUAGCCAUCUCGCAGGACGGCCCGUCCGCCGACCGUGGCAAUAAAGAGGCCCGGCUGGGCUUCGUCGUCUCCUCCUUGCGUGACGAGCUAUACUAGCAGUCGCAGGAGUUCGUUGAGAGGUGCGUUCGCACGAAGCGAGUUCGUGGCAAGCACCGCUCCGUCUCCGUUGGUGAUGCGAGGCUCGUGGGAGUGAUUGACGGUUUGCGGCGAGUAGAUCGGUCACCCACCCGACCCGUCUUGAAACACGGACCAAGGAGUCU
This 464-nucleotide ribosomal RNA is filed under the name Oedothorax apicatus. Its description in RNAcentral is "partial 28S ribosomal RNA". The record is from RNAcentral. Lineage: Eukaryota; Metazoa; Arthropoda; Arachnida; Araneae; Linyphiidae.